GACGAACGCUGGCGGCGCGCCUAACACAUGCAAGUCGAACGAGCAAAGAGGAGCUUGCUUCUCUGAGCGAGUGGCGAACGGGUGAGUAACGCGUGAGGAACCUGCCUCAAAGAGGGGGACAACAGUUGGAAACGACUGCUAAUACCGCAUAAGCCCACGGGUCGGCAUCGACCAGAGGGAAAAGGAGCAAUCCGCUUUGAGAUGGCCUCGCGUCCGAUUAGCUAGUUGGUGAGGUAACGGCCCACCAAGGCGACGAUCGGUAGCCGGACUGAGAGGUUGAACGGCCACAUUGGGACUGAGACACGGCCCAGACUCCUACGGGAGGCAGCAGUGGGGAAUAUUGCACAAUGGGGGAAACCCUGAUGCAGCGACGCCGCGUGGAGGAAGAAGGUCUUCGGAUUGUAAACUCCUGUUGUUGAGGAAGAUAAUGACGGUACUCAACAAGGAAGUGACGGCUAACUACGUGCCAGCAGCCGCGGUAAAACGUAGGUCACAAGCGUUGUCCGGAAUUACUGGGUGUAAAGGGAGCGCAGGCGGGAAGACAAGUUGGAAGUGAAAUCCAUGGGCUCAACCCAUGAACUGCUUUCAAAACUGUUUUUCUUGAGUAGUGCAGAGGUAGGCGGAAUUCCCGGUGUAGCGGUGGAAUGCGUAGAUAUCGGGAGGAACACCAGUGGCGAAGGCGGCCUACUGGGCACCAACUGACGCUGAGGCUCGAAAGUGUGGGUAGCAAACAGGAUUAGAUACCCUGGUAGUCCACACCGUAAACGAUGAUUACUAGGUGUUGGAGGAUUGACCCCUUCAGUGCCGCAGUUAACACAAUAAGUAAUCCACCUGGGGAGUACGACCGCAAGGUUGAAACUCAAAGGAAUUGACGGGGGCCCGCACAAGCAGUGGAGUAUGUGGUUUAAUUCGACGCAACGCGAAGAACCUUACCAAGUCUUGACAUCCUGCGACGGACAUAGAAAUAUGUCUUUCCUUCGGGACGCAGAGACAGGUGGUGCAUGGUUGUCGUCAGCUCGUGUCGUGAGAUGUUGGGUUAAGUCCCGCAACGAGCGCAACCCUUAUGGUCAGUUACUACGCAAGAGGACUCUGGCCAGACUGCCGUUGACAAAACGGAGGAAGGUGGGGAUGACGUCAAAUCAUCAUGCCCUUUAUGACUUGGGCUACACACGUACUACAAUGGCGUUAAACAAAGAGAAGCAAGACCGCGAGGUGGAGCAAAACUCAGAAACAACGUCCCAGUUCGGACUGCAGGCUGCAACUCGCCUGCACGAAGUCGGAAUUGCUAGUAAUCGUGGAUCAGCAUGCCACGGUGAAUACGUUCCCGGGCCU
Molecule: ribosomal RNA, 1332 nt
Filed under: uncultured bacterium
Lineage: Bacteria
Description: bacterial SSU rRNA
Rfam family: Bacterial small subunit ribosomal RNA
Source: RNAcentral